AAGAUGACUUAUCGUGGCUCUCUGAGAUACAGCCUUCAAGACACCAUACAGAUUCAGGAUGAUGGCACCUUUCAUAAGGACUGCAAUAAUCCUUCUGUUCCUGAUGAUGCAUGAACUACAGUCCCAAUGACAGUCACAUUAUAGUGGGCUAUGGAGGAGCAGUUUGGAUUGACUACAUGAAAGUCCUCAGGUAACUGCAGUCCCAAUGACUUACAGUGCACAGAUGAGCUCAUUGAUUCAUAAACUAUUGCAACUGUGCCUUGUACUUCCUAGAAGCUUGCUGCUCAUAGUUUUAAGGAAAAACCUUUGCUGAGUUUUUCAGCAAAGAUAUAGUUGUUGAUGCUUUACUUUGGUUCAGCGUUAUGAACACAAAUUGCUCACCAAUUCAACACAUUAGUGUGGAAGAAUUGCACCUUUGGCCUCCACAGUUUCGGGAAAGGGCCUCUGCCACAGGAGGGAUGGAUAGCAAGGGGGUGUCCCUGCAUGAUGCCUCCAGCCACCCCCACCCCACCCCACAGCCUCUGGGACAUUCCCGCAGCCGCUAUCCAGUGAAAUCCCACGCCGGCAGGGUGACUCACAUCAGAAGACAUUCCAGAAAGAAGAAUAAUUAUGCCAUUGCUGGAAUUGAUGUAAUGGUGUUUUUCAGCAUGCUUUAAUAGACAUGAGUGAUGUUUUGGCAGGCAAUUGAAAUAACCCUAGAUAUCUGAUUGCAUUAGUGACUGCUACCAAGGGCAUCUCUGGAGAGAGGGACAUUACUUAAGGUACUUCCUCUGUAUUGUAACUUGCUGGGGCUAACUUUCAGUGUAGCAUAGGAUUCUUUUCUGAAGACAGACAUAUUGGAGAGCUUAACCACGACAUAUAACAAACUGAACUCUAAACAUAUACAGAUUCCAAGAGACAGGCCUGUGUAAACAACAUCAUAAUUCCCUGGGUUAUGUGCUGUUUAAAAUAACAUUCAGCUAUGCAUUCACCUCAAAAGAUUGCCACUUAGCAGCGUUGUUUCUUUUUGUAAUCUUUAUUGUUUAGGUUUAUUAUGGCUUUCAUUUUUUUCCCCUGGAAAACAUAAACAAUUCCCCUUUUUCUGUGCCGGCUCAUAGCCCUGUGAUGCCCAUGCCAUAGCCAGCUGGGAGGGUAACGAAUGAGGGCUCGAUUGAGUCCAGGAGCCCCUCUUUCACCCAAAAGCAAGACUUUUUUCUCUCUGACCAUCCGUGUUUUAACACCAUGCUCCUUAGAAUGGGCCUUCUUCUUAUUAAGGCUUGCUACCGGCAUUUAUUGGUUGAAGUUGUGCUCUCGUUUAACACCCACACAGUCCCACUGAAGGCUUGUUGCCUUCACUUAGGCUAUAUGUU
This is a long non-coding RNA of Gallus gallus (chicken), 1349 nucleotides long. NCBI's taxonomy places the organism in Eukaryota, Metazoa, Chordata, Aves, Galliformes, Phasianidae. The record is from Ensembl.